RNAcentral lists this ribosomal RNA (728 nucleotides) under uncultured eukaryote. RNAcentral describes it as "bacterial SSU rRNA". It matches the Rfam family "Eukaryotic small subunit ribosomal RNA", at positions 672 to 1426 of the family's 1831-position model. The record is from RNAcentral.
CGGGUGCACUGAUCCACCCGGGCCUUUCCCUCUGUGGAACCCCAUGGCCUUCACUGGCUGUGGGGGGGAAACAGGACUUUUUCUUUUGAAAAUUAGAGUGCUCCAGACAGCCAUACGCUCGUACAUAUUAGCGUGGAAUAAUAGUAUAGGACGUGUGGUUAUAUUUUGUGGGUUUAUAGCACCGCUGUAAUGAUAUAUAGGCACAGUCGGGGGCAUCUGUACUCAAUUGUCAGAGGUAAAUUUCUUGGAUCUAUAGAAGACUAACUACUGAGAAAGCAUUUGCCAAGGAUGUUCUCAUUGAUAAGGAACGAAAGUUAGGGGAUCGAAGACGAUCAGACACUGUCGUUGUCUUAACUAUAAAAUACGCCGACUAGGGAUCGGACGAUGUUUUUCUUUGACGCGUUCGGCACCUUUCGAGAAAUCAAAGUGCUUGGGCUCCAGGGGGAGUAUGGUCGCAAGGGUGAAACUUAAAGAAAUUGAGGGAAGGGCCCCCCCAGGGGGGGCACCUGGGGUUUAAUUUGACUCCACAGGGGGAAACUCCCCAGGUCCAGACACAGUGAGGAUUGACAGAUUGAGAGCUCUUUCUUGAUUCUGUGGGUGGUGGUGCAUGGCCGUUCUUAGUUGGUGGAGUGAUUUGUCUGCUUAAUUGCGAUAACGAAGGCGACCUCAACCUGCUAAAUAGCCCGUACUGCUUUGGCAGUUCGCCGGCUUCUUAGAGGGACGAUUGG